This 72-nucleotide transfer RNA is filed under the name Camelus ferus (Wild Bactrian camel). It matches the Rfam family "tRNA". From Rfam's summary of the family: Transfer RNA (tRNA) molecules are approximately 80 nucleotides in length. Their secondary structure includes four short double-helical elements and three loops (D, anti-codon, and T loops). Lineage: Eukaryota; Metazoa; Chordata; Mammalia; Artiodactyla; Camelidae. The record is from Rfam by way of RNAcentral.
GAGGGUAGGGCUCAGUGGUACAGUGCAUGCUUAGCAUGCACGAGGUCCUGGGUUCAAUCCCCUGUACCUUCA